RNAcentral lists this unclassified non-coding RNA (335 nucleotides) under soil metagenome. RNAcentral's name for it is "partial contains 5.8S ribosomal RNA, internal transcribed spacer 2, and large subunit ribosomal RNA". The stretch from base 1 to 120 matches the Rfam family "5.8S ribosomal RNA", at positions 35 to 154 of the family's 154-position model. The record is from RNAcentral.
GAUGAAGAACGCAGCGAAAUGCGACAAGUAAUGUGAAUUGCAGAAUUCAGUGAAUCAUCGAAUCUUUGAACGCACAUUGCGCCCGCCAGUAUUCUGGCGGGCAUGCCUGUUCGAGCGUCAUUUCAACCAUCAAGCCCCAGGCUUGUGUUGGGGACCUGCGGCUGCCGCAGGCCCUGAAAACCAGUGGCGGGCUCGCUGUCACACCGGGCGUAGUAGAUUUUAUCUCGCUCAGGGCGUGCUGCGGGUUCCGGCCGUUAAAAAGCCUUUUUUACCCAAGGUUGACCUCGGAUCAGGUAGGAAGACCCGCUGAACUUAAGCAUAUCAAUAAGCGGAGA